This is a long non-coding RNA of Papaver somniferum (opium poppy), 1117 nucleotides long. RefSeq lists it as uncharacterized. Lineage: Eukaryota; Viridiplantae; Streptophyta; Magnoliopsida; Ranunculales; Papaveraceae. The record is from RefSeq and is a predicted model, not a curated record. The transcript has 2 exons.
UUGGCUCUCUCUGUUAUCUCUUUGUCUUCUUCUUUACGAUUAUACUACAAAACGUUAUCACCACGAUGCUCAUCCGUUGCCGCAAAGAACAACAAGAAAAACAAAAAAAAAAUAUAUAAAAAAAUAAUAAUCAGCGAAUGGGUUUUUACACUCCCAUCAUUUCUUUCUUCAAACAGAUCCGGGAAAAAAAAGGAAAAAACAAGCUAGAUUAGAUUUGGAAAUGAAAUCAAUAAUCGGCUGUAGAGGAGGGAGAGAAUUUGAGGCAGUUCAUAGAGAUCUCGUCUUUUCUUGGGAUAUCAUAUGUUCCUCGAAAACCUGUUCCUCUUCUUCUUCAAAAAAGAAAUGAAACCGUUCGUCUACCGCUGAGCCGAAAUCUCUGUCCCAUUGGAUUUGUGCUUCUGUUCCUGAAACGAAUCGAAAACGGUAUGCCUAUUGUUCAUCCCAAACGCGGUUGAGUAUUCCGUCGCUCGGGAUUCUGUUACGAUCUGGAAAAGAGGAGAAGAAAUAGCAGGUUCGGUCCAUCCUACCCAGUCUGGUCCACCCGAAUCCGGUCCGGUCCACUCGAACCUAGUCCUGUCCAUCCUUGUUCCAGCUGUGUGGCCUGUUUCGACCCUGUUCCAGUUGUGUGUCAUAUUCCGUUCUAUUCUCUGUUUACGGGCCGUGCGCGACCAAGGAAGUUCCGGUCUCGUUUAUAUAAAGUGGGACCAAUACAUGUACAUGUAUAUGAUAUGAGGUAUGUAACUAAUAUUAUUUGGACUUUUACAUUGAAUACCUGCUGGGCUUAUUUAUUUAUCUUUUAGAACGUGUCUAGUUCUGUUUUUUUUUCUUCAGAUAAGUGAGUGUUGAUCUCAAUCAUUAAGAAUUUUGGUCUUAAUGUUAUUUUGUUCUUUUAAAUAUGGUAUUGGCUAUAGUUGAAUGAUGUCUUUUGUACAAUUGGUUGUACCAACUUGAUUCAAAUGUAUGUAUUUGGGGUUUAGAAGUACAUGAACACCAUUAUUGCAUAUUUGGUAUUUUCUCCCCAAACUUGAAUGUUCUGUGGAAUGUAAUACACUUGCGUGACUAUUAAAGAGUCGAUUGUUUCAAAAGAUACAUUGCAAAUAAAAUCACAUGUUUUCCA